RNAcentral lists this ribosomal RNA (301 nucleotides) under uncultured bacterium. RNAcentral's name for it is "partial 16S ribosomal RNA". It matches the Rfam family "Bacterial small subunit ribosomal RNA", at positions 509 to 807 of the family's 1533-position model. The record is from RNAcentral.
CAGUCGCCGCGGUAAAACGGAGGGUGCAAGCGUUAUCCGGAUUUAUUGGGUUUAAAGGGUCCGUAGGCGGACUUAUAAGUCAGUGGUGAAAGCCUGUCGCUUAACGAUAGAACUGCCAUUGAUACUGUAAGUCUUGAGUAUAUUUGAGGUAGCUGGAAUAAGUAGUGUAGCGGUGAAAUGCAUAGAUAUUACUUAGAACACCAAUUGCGAAGGCAGGUUACCAAGAUAUAACUGACGCUGAGGGACGAAAGCGUGGGUAGCGAACAGGAUUAGAUACCCCAGUAGUCCCUGUCUCUUAUAC